GAUCCUGGCUCAUGAUGAACGCUAGUUACAGGCUUAACACAUGCAAGUCGAGGGGCAGCAUGGUCUUAGCUUGCUAAGGCCGAUGGCGACCGGCGCACGGGUGAGUAACGCGUAUCCAACCUGCCUUACACUCUUGGACAGCCUUCUGAAAGGGAGAUUAAUACAAGAUGUUAUCAUGAGUAAGCAUUUUCGCAUGAUUAAAGGUUUACCGGCGUAAGAUGGGGAUGCGUU
This 231-nucleotide ribosomal RNA is filed under the name uncultured bacterium. Its description in RNAcentral is "partial 16S ribosomal RNA". It matches the Rfam family "Bacterial small subunit ribosomal RNA", at positions 15 to 237 of the family's 1533-position model. The record is from RNAcentral.